CCUACGGGUGGCAGCAGUGGGGAAUAUUGCACAAUGGGGGAAACCCUGAUGCAGCGACGCCGCGUGAGUGAGGAAGUAUUUCGGUAUGUAAAGCUCUGUCAGCAGGGAAGAAAAUGACGGUACCUGACUAAGAAGCCCCGGCUAACUACGUGCCAGCAGCCGCGGUAAUACGUAGGGGGCAAGCGUUAUCCGGAUUUACUGGGGGUAAAGGGAGCGUAGGCGGGUAAUUAAGUCAGAAGUGAAAACCCAGGGCUCAACCUUGGGACUGCUUUUGAAAUUGGGUAGCUAGAGUGCAGGAGAGGUGAGUGGAAUUCCUAGUGUAGCGGUGAAAUGCGUAGAUAUUAGGAGGAACACCAGUGGCGAAGGCGGCCUUCUGGACUGUAACUGACGCUGAGGCUCGAAAGCGUGGGGAGCAAACAGGAUUAGAUACCCUAGUAGUC
Molecule: ribosomal RNA, 440 nt
Filed under: uncultured bacterium
Lineage: Bacteria
Description: partial 16S ribosomal RNA
Rfam family: Bacterial small subunit ribosomal RNA
Source: RNAcentral